Molecule: long non-coding RNA, 187 nt
Organism: Pongo pygmaeus (Bornean orangutan)
Lineage: Eukaryota; Metazoa; Chordata; Mammalia; Primates; Hominidae
Exons: 3
Source: RefSeq, a predicted model, not a curated record
GCCAUGUGGAACUAGAGAAGAUGAAGACACCGCAGGAAGCUGUGGAGAGUAGAGGAGAUGCAGAGGAAGGCAUGGGCAACACGGAAGCUCUUGCAAGUGCCUCACAGAUAGGACACAUGCUGCCAUGGAAGAGAAACAAAAGGGCCUGGAAAAGGUGUGGACCAUCAGGAACUGGCUUCUCCCUGGC